Molecule: ribosomal RNA, 506 nt
Filed under: Boana raniceps (Chaco treefrog)
Lineage: Eukaryota; Metazoa; Chordata; Amphibia; Anura; Hylidae
Description: partial large subunit ribosomal RNA
Rfam family: Bacterial large subunit ribosomal RNA
Source: RNAcentral
CUUGACAACAUAUAAGAGGUCCAGCCUGCCCAGUGACCUAGUUCAACGGCCGCGGUAUCCUAACCGUGCGAAGGUAGCGUAAUCACUUGUUCUUUAAAUGAGGACUAGUAUGAAUGGCACCACGAGGGUUAAACUGUCUCCUUUUUUUAAUCAGUGAAACUAAUCCCCCCGUGAAGAAGCGGGGAUUCUUUUAUAAGACGAGAAGACCCUAUGGAGCUUUAAACAAGUUAACACCUGCUACUAAUCUUCACUUUCCUGAACCACCACAUUAAGUAUAGCACCUCUGAUUAACAGUUUUCGAUUGGGGUGAUCAUGGAGCAAAAAUCAACCUCCACGACGAAAAGGAACACCUCCUUGAGCCAAAAGCUACAACUUUAAGCACUAAAAAACUAACGCACUUUGACCCAAUUCUUUGAGCAACGAACCAAGUUACCCUAGGGAUAACAGCGCAAUCCACUUUAAGAGCUCCUAUCGACAAGUGGGUUUACGACCUCGAUGUUGGAUCA